This 490-nucleotide ribosomal RNA is filed under the name uncultured bacterium. RNAcentral's name for it is "partial 16S ribosomal RNA". It matches the Rfam family "Bacterial small subunit ribosomal RNA", at positions 30 to 507 of the family's 1533-position model. The record is from RNAcentral.
AGUGAACGCUGGCGGCAGGCCUAAUACAUGCAAGUCGAACGGCAGCACAGCAGAGCUUGCUCUGUGUGUGGCGAGUGGCGGACGGGUGAGGAAUACAUGGGAAUCUGCCCAGUCGUGGGGGAUAACGUAUGGAAACGUACGCUAAUACCGCAUGCGCCCUUUGGGGGAAAGCCGGGGACCUUCGGGCCUGGCGCGAUUGGAUGAGCCCAGGUUCGAUUAGCUAGUUGGCGGGGUAAAGGCCCACCAAGGCGGCGAUCGAUAGCUGGUGUGAGAGGAUGGUCAGCCACACUGGGACUGAGACACGGCCCAGACGCCUACGGGAGGCAGCAGUAGGGAAUAUUGGACAAUGGGCGCAAGCCUGAUCCAGCCGUGCCGCGUGGGGGAAGAAGGCCCUCGGGUUGUAAAGCUCCUUUGUCCGGAAAGAAAAGCAUUCGGUUAAUACCCGGGUGUUCUGACGGUACCGGAAGAAUAAGCACCGGCUAACUUCGUG